GUUUUGGUUAGACGUUCGCGGCGACCUUGAACUUCCGGUUCACGGUGUUGGGUUUUAAAAAAAUCGUGAAAAUUACGUUUCUGAUUAAACAUCGAUUAUGUCAUGCAUUUUUAGGCAGACAAAAGGUUAAAGAACAGUCACGCAUUUGUUUUGUGUUCAUUCAUUGUUUAUUUCCGCUGCAGUUGACGUCUGAAGUUACUACUCGAAUAAAAUCAACUUUUGCUGUCAAAAAGAAUAUUUUAUGAACUGAUCCUUCUGGCAAAAUACCACUUUGCCAAUUAUUAUAAAGAUUGUCAUUUUGAUUUUCUUAUAAUGCCGCCAAAGAAGCGUACUGUAAGCUUAUGCCCCCAGCACCAACAGGCAAAUGUCGACUUUUGCUUGAAGAACGGUAUAAAGAGAUUCCUGUUGAUGCUGAAGACUUGCUGAAUGGUCAUGUGGUUUUAAAAUUCAUGCAG
This is a long non-coding RNA of Anneissia japonica, 455 nucleotides long. RefSeq lists it as uncharacterized. The transcript is spliced from 3 exons. The record is from RefSeq and is a predicted model, not a curated record. Lineage: Eukaryota; Metazoa; Echinodermata; Crinoidea; Comatulida; Comatulidae.